UUAUACCUACGGGGGCUAGACCUGUGGUGUCAUCAUCCAUACGGUUCUACCGUCUGGUAGUUGUAGCAAUAUUAUUAUCGUUAGUAGCUCACGCCUGACAUAAUAUUUUGAUAAAUCUAAUACAUUUUUAGAUUUAAAUAUGACUUUAAUAACUGAAUAAAUACUUUUCUUCUACAAAAAUAUAGAGAGACACUCUCGUUGAAUAUUGUUUUAGUAACGUAUGGGUAAGAUUUUCUAAACGAAGUGUGGCAACCCCAAUUACUUAAUAAAAAAUAAAUAUGUUAUAAAAUGAAAAUGGCGUCAUUUCACCAAAUAAAACACGAAUUCACGAAUAAUAAAAUAAAUGUUUGCCACGGCCUGUUAAUAUUUAUGAAGACCUCUUCAUGGAUUGGAUUUAAGCAACCUGCUGUGUAAUAUCCUCGCCAUUCUUGAUGUUGAGAAGAUCUAUAAGUCUUUUACGUUUCAUCUGAGUGUUGUGGUUUUUCAUUAUGUUAAAAAUAAGACUUUGUUAGUUGAAGUGUCUCUAGAACUAUGAAGAAGAACAAAAGAAAAUGCUUUGAGUGUGGUUUUUCGCCUGCCGAUGAUGCAGAGAAGACCCUACAGAGAUUACAGAAAUUUGAUUCUACAAAUUUAGUCUCCGUAAUGUCCAGAUAAUCAAUGAUUAGACUAUUGGACUUUUAGAAUAAAUUUGACAUUGAACUAUGAAUGGUUUGUCAUCUACAUUUUUAAAAAAGACGAGAUGUUUUGCCUGUAAGAACAAGAGAGAGAGAGAAUAAGAAGGUAAGUUAAACACCUACUGUAAAAUGCACACUGCUCCAAUGUGGGUUGAUAGGCUUGGGGUAAUAAAGUUAAAUUAUAAAAGGAUCACUAUCAGGUGUUAAUGAUAAUGACUGGGAUAUAUAGCAUAUCAUACUCUCUGAGAUAUAGGGAUAUAACACCAGCAACAGCUCUCCAGUGAUGCAGUAGAUAGCAUCAUUGCUCUUUGCAUCUACACGCCACAGCCAGUUGUGGCAAUUGAACUCAUCAUAUUAGUGUGAUGAGCAUGGAUGUAUUUCAGUGUCUAUGUGGUUGUGAGUGUACGCCCAUGUUAAAUAACAAGUAAUGGCCAAAAUAUUAAGUAGAUGUUGAUCAAUAAUCUUCUCUAUCUUCCAGUAAAAGUCCCAUUAAAAUGACCCUGCUGUUCCAGAGAUUAGCUCAAACAAACAGACAGAUGAACAUUUUAAAGAAGUAUGACUGUAUGUCAGUAUUGUAUAUAGGCACUUGAGAAAACACAGUUAUUUUGAAAUCACAGACAUACACUUAAAUUUUAUUUAUAUGUAUUGGUGCUGUUCAUAAAUAUAGCAUCAGCUGAAACAAACUAGGCAUAGUUAAGUUACAUUUUAUACAGGGUGCUCGGGACUAUUUCUCAUAAAUUCAAGGUGUUGACAAGUCCACUUAUAGGAGUUACCUUAGCUACUAGUUUAUAUUGAGGAGAACUUUCCACCUAGAUGGGUUGUGACUGUAUUAGGGGUCUGGUGAUGAAGACGUAGGACGGUUAAGAGAACUCCUCAACGGUUCACAGUAGCUACCAUGUGUUGAUAAAUUUGUAUUGAUGAGAACUUUCCAACUAGAUGGGUUGUGACUGUAUUAGGGGUCUGGUAAUGAAGACGAAGGACGGUUAAGGGAACUCCUCGAUUGUUGUUCACAGUAGCUACCAUGUGUUGAUAAAUUUGUAUUGAUGAGAACUUUCCACCUAGAUGGGUUUUGACUGUAUUAGGGGUCUGGUAAUGAAGACGAAGGACGGUUAAGGGAACUUCUCGAUGGUUCACAGUAGUAAUUAGUUUGAUUCUAAGUCAGAGGCAAUCAAAUACAAUGUUAUAUCACGACUCAUAGCAACAUACCUUUGGCGCUAGAUCAAUAUCUAGGAUGAUUUCACUAAAAAUGGAAAAAUAAAAAUUUUUAAUUAAAGAAAUUCAACCAACUUCAAAAACAUAAAACAUACUGGCUAAACUAAAAAGCGAAAAAUAAUAUUAUACUAAGUUCAUAUCAUAUUAUGUUCUAACUGAUGAUCAGUUUGAAGGCUGUGCUAAACCGGUGUUGUUUUAAUUUAAGCUGUUACUGAAAGAACUACAUGAAAGAACACUGUCUGAAAAACCUAAAUAUUUAUGAUAUUCUUACAUGGCUUGAAUUAAUACAUCAUUGGGCUAGCACCACCUUCAAACUGAUCAUCAGUUAGAACAUAAUAUGAUAUAUAGAACUUAGUAUAAUGUUAUUUUUCGUUUUUUAGUUUAGUAAGUAUGUUUUUGAAGUCGGUUGACUUGUUUUUAUUAAAGUUUUUUAAUACACAUGUUCCUUAGACAUUUUAAAUUAAUUUUCCUUAUAGAACUUGGAGCUACCCUAGAGUUAUGGGAAAUACUCCCGUGCACCCUGUAGAUGCUACUUAAUCCUACUAAUCCUUCAUUCAUCAGUAUCGGUUGGUGGGCUUGGAGUUUAUAAAGAAUAUUAAGUAUAUAUAAUUUAUUUAUGAACAUUCCUCAUUCAGUUGAGCUUUUACUACCCAUAACACAAGCUAAGCUUACUUUGAGACUAGUUAGUGAUGUGUGUAAUGUGUUAAUAUAAAUAUUAACCAACUUUCUGCAGUUUGAGAAUACGCGGAUAAAAUAUAGCCUAUGAUACUCAGAAAUAACUUGGCUUUCUAGUGGUAAAAGAAUUUUCAAAAUUGGAUCCAGAGUUUACCUGCUAGAACACCACCAACUUUACCUCUUUAUAAUACAUACUAGCGGUCGCCCGCGACUUCGUCCGCGUAAAAAUCGAUGUCAACUUUCAACCCCUAUUUCACAUUCUAUUUUGCAAGUUUUAUAACUUAUACCUUGUAACUAAAAAAAUUAAGGACUUUCCGUACAAACUUUCUACCCCUACUUCACCCAAUUCUGAUUUUGUUUUCACGACAAAAAGUAUCCUAUUAUCCUUCUACGUAUUAUGGUCUCAAAUCGUCUUAAGUAUCGUUUGAAUUCAUUCUGUAGUAUCAGCGUGAUGCCCGGUCAAAAAAAAGGCAAACAGACAGACAAAAAAUAGAAAAUAUGAGCGUGGUGCGAUGACAAAGGAAAAUAGAGACUUCUAUGCUAAAAUUAUAAUCUUUGGAUCUACUGGACCGAUUUGAAAGAUUGUUUUAUCAAUAGAAAGCUACGUUAUUUGCGAGUGUCAUAGGCUAUGUUUGAUUCCCAUAUUCACACAGGAACGGGAACCACGUAAUGGAAAGCGCGGGGCGUCAUGUAGCGGACUUUCUGCGUCUUUGAGAAAUUUUGUAUUAUCUCCAAAACUAAUUAACAUACUAUAAAGGGCAAAUCUUAUCUCCAUAAUAUCCUUGUGAUUAUUAAAUAAUUUAUUUUGAUAAGGAUUUAAGUUAAGUAGCAUAAAUAAUGACGCAAACCUAAGUAUAUAAAAUUUAUAAUUUUCAAAACACAAAAGGUACUAUAUCUGCUAAUAUAUAGAAGAUAGAUAUAUGGUGUCGCGGACUUUUUUGUAGAACUUUUAAAGAUACAUAAAGCAUCCAUACAUUAAUUUCAAUUUUACACAAUGGUUAAGGCAGCGCAUGCGAAUAAGUCUGCUUAAGAGGAUUUUCGGUCCGACCUGUAUGACAAAAACUGUGUUAACUCGGCGACUAUAUAUCAUGCUAAUAUAAAAUAUAGCCUAUAGCACUCCCCGAUAAUGUAGCAUUCUACUUGUGAAAGAAUUUUUAAAAUCGGACCAGUAGUUCCGAAAAUUACCCCAUUUAAAAAAUGUGACAAACUUACAAACUUUACCUCUUUAUAAUAUUAGUAUAGAUUAACAACCCAUUUUCGGCUCAUUGUUGAGCACGAGUCACUUCUCAGGACGAGAGGGGUUAGGCCUUAGUCCUCCAUGCUGGCCCAAUGCGGAUUGGCAGACUUCACACACCUAGACAAUUAAGAAAAUUCUCAGUUAUGUAGGUUUCUUCACAAUGUUAUGCUUCACCAUUUAAGACAUUUAAUUUAAAAAUGGGUUGAAUACAUAUCAGUAUAGAUUUUUAUUGUGAGUUUCUUGAAAGAAGGAAAUGCUCAAUAUUUCAUAGACCAACCCAGGACUCAAACUCAGAAUUUCAUGAUAGUUACACUGAACCAAUAAAGCAGUUAGAGAGAGAGAGAGAGAGAGAUAAAUAAAAAGAGUUUAUUAUGUAUUAAAAUUAAAAUAUAUACCUAAUGCUUUCAGCAAUCCUGCUUCUUCACAUGAAUUUUACCCGACGGUUUUUAAUAUAAAAAAUAUUUACACAAUGUCUCAAAAAGCAAUCAAAGCUUUCAAAAAUAAACAAUGUUCGCAGAAGUUCAGUACCAACAAACUCACAAAAAAUGAGCCCAAAAUUUAGCAUUACUUGCAAGCCAGACUAAGAAAUUUCAAGAAGAUAAUUUAAAAGAAUACAAUAGAAUAAAAUAAUAUUAACACACAAUGCUUAGCAAAUAUAGCAUUAACAGAUGGAAACCAGGCAAUAGGUGUAGCAAAAUAGAAGAUGAAGGUCUAGCUGUGCCAGUCAGUGCUGAGCCACACAGUUGCUGCUGGCAUGUUUGCAAAAUAGCACAAGGUGUAGCAAAAUAGAAGAUGAAGGUCUAGCUGUGCCAGUCAGUGCUGAGCCACACAGUUGCUGCUGGCAUGUUUGCAAAAUAGCACAAGGUAACCUGCUUCAUCG
Molecule: long non-coding RNA, 4678 nt
Organism: Bicyclus anynana (squinting bush brown)
Lineage: Eukaryota; Metazoa; Arthropoda; Insecta; Lepidoptera; Nymphalidae
Exons: 4
Source: RefSeq, a predicted model, not a curated record